Molecule: ribosomal RNA, 708 nt
Filed under: uncultured Providencia sp.
Lineage: Bacteria; Pseudomonadati; Pseudomonadota; Gammaproteobacteria; Enterobacterales; Morganellaceae
Description: bacterial SSU rRNA
Rfam family: Bacterial small subunit ribosomal RNA
Source: RNAcentral
GUCACGCUGUAAACGAUGUCGAUUUGGAGGUUGUUCCCUGAGGAGUGGCUUCCGGAGCUAACGCGUUAAAUCGACCGCCUGGGGAGUACGGCCGCAAGGUUAAAACUCAAAUGAAUUGACGGGGGCCCGCACAAGCGGUGGAGCAUGUGGUUUAAUUCGAUGCAACGCGAAGAACCUUACCUAGUCUUGACAUCCAGAGAAUUCAGCAGAGAUGUGUGAGUGCCUUCGGGAACUCUGAGACAGGUGCUGCAUGGCUGUCGUCAGCUCGUGUUGUGAAAUGUUGGGUUAAGUCCCGCAACGAGCGCAACCCUUAUCCUUUGUUGCCAGCACAUUAUGGUGGGAACUCAAAGGAGACUGCCGGUGAUAAACCGGAGGAAGGUGGGGAUGACGUCAAGUCAUCAUGGCCCUUACGAGUAGGGCUACACACGUGCUACAAUGGCGUAUACAAAGAGAAGCGACCUCGCGAGAGCAAGCGGAACUCAUAAAGUACGUCGUAGUCCGGAUUGGAGUCUGCAACUCGACUCCAUGAAGUCGGAAUCGCUAGUAAUCGUAGAUCAGAAUGCUACGGUGAAUACGUUCCCGGGCCUUGUACACACCGCCCGUCACACCAUGGGAGUGGGUUGCAAAAGAAGUAGGUAGCUUAACCUUCGGGAGGGCGCUUACCACUUUGUGAUUCAUGACUGGGGUGAAGUCGUAACAAGGUAACCA